UUAAGCCGUAAGGUGCAUACCUUAGGUUGAGACAAGAUUCUCGUGUUGUUCUUGUUCUAUUUCUCUCUACCAGCUUUUGAUAUAAAGUCAGAAAAUCGAGUCAAGUUUCUGAUCCGUUUUAAGGACAGCGCUUGAACAAUAAUCUUCAAGAUUAUGGCGAUAUA
This 164-nucleotide unclassified non-coding RNA is filed under the name Chlamydiales bacterium CF280911-8. Its description in RNAcentral is "16S-23S ribosomal RNA intergenic spacer". Lineage: Bacteria; Pseudomonadati; Chlamydiota; Chlamydiia; Chlamydiales. The record is from RNAcentral.